Molecule: ribosomal RNA, 395 nt
Filed under: uncultured bacterium
Lineage: Bacteria
Description: partial 16S ribosomal RNA
Rfam family: Bacterial small subunit ribosomal RNA
Source: RNAcentral
CCUACGGGAGGCAGCAGUGAGGAAUAUUGGUCAAUGGCCGCAAGUCUGAACCAGCCAUGCCGCGUGCAGGAAGACUGUCCUAUGAGUUGUAAACUGCUUUUGUCAGGGGGCAAACGCACAUACGCGUAGCUGUCUGAGAGUAUCGGAAGAAUAAGCAUCGGCUAACUCCGUGCCAGCAGCCGCGGUAAUACGGAGGAUUCAAGCGUUAUCCGGAUUUAUUGGGUUUAAAGGGUGCGCAGGCGGGCGGAUAAGUUAGCGGUAAAAUUCCGGGGCUCAACUUCCGCCUGGCGUUUGAUACUGGUCGUCUAGAGUUGAAGAGAGGUAGGCGGAAUGCGUGGUGUAGCGGUGAAAUGCAUAGAUAUCACGCAGAACUCCGAUUGCGAAGGCAGCAUACC